CUUUGAUGACGACUGGCGCACGGGUGAGUAACGCGUAUCCAACCUUCCCAUAACUACGGGAUAACCCGUUGAAAGACGGCCUAAUACCGUAUGAUAUCGUUUGCUGACAUCAAAUAACGAUUAAAGGUUUAGCGGUUAUGGAUGGGGAUGCGUCUGAUUAGCUUGUUGGCGGGGUAACGGCCCACCAAGGCAACGAUCAGUAGGGGUUCUGAGAGGAAGGUCCCCCACAUUGGAACUGAGACACGGUCCAA
Molecule: ribosomal RNA, 251 nt
Filed under: uncultured Bacteroidales bacterium
Lineage: Bacteria; Pseudomonadati; Bacteroidota; Bacteroidia; Bacteroidales
Description: partial 16S ribosomal RNA
Rfam family: Bacterial small subunit ribosomal RNA
Source: RNAcentral